AUUGAACGCUGGCGGCAGGCCUAACACAUGCAAGUCGAGCGGAUGAAGGGAGCUUGCUCCUGGAUUCAGCGGCGGACGGGUGAGUAAUGCCUAGGAAUCUGCCUGGUAGUGGGGGAUAACGUCCGGAAACGGGCGCUAAUACCGCAUACGUCCUGAGGGAGAAAGUGGGGGAUCUUCGGACCUCACGCUAUCAGAUGAGCCUAGGUCGGAUUAGCUAGUUGGUGGGGUAAAGGCCUACCAAGGCGACGAUCCGUAACUGGUCUGAGAGGAUGAUCAGUCACACUGGAACUGAGACACGGUCCAGACUCCUACGGGAGGCAGCAGUGGGGAAUAUUGGACAAUGGGAGAAAGCCUGAUCAAGCCAUGCCGCGUGUGUGAAGAAGGUCUUCGGAUUGUAAAGCACUUUAAGUUGGGAGGAAGGGCAGUAAGUUAAUACCUUGCUGUUUUGACGUUACCAACAGAAUAAGCACCGGCUAACUUCGUG
Molecule: ribosomal RNA, 484 nt
Filed under: uncultured bacterium
Lineage: Bacteria
Description: partial 16S ribosomal RNA
Rfam family: Bacterial small subunit ribosomal RNA
Source: RNAcentral